This is a long non-coding RNA of Protobothrops mucrosquamatus (brown spotted pit viper), 2487 nucleotides long. RefSeq lists it as uncharacterized. The transcript is spliced from 2 exons. The record is from RefSeq and is a predicted model, not a curated record. NCBI's taxonomy places the organism in Eukaryota, Metazoa, Chordata, Lepidosauria, Squamata, Viperidae.
ACCUUGACCCUUUCUUUGUAUCUCCUCAGUACUGUCCAAGAACAGCAAACCCAUCCACACUACCAUCCUGAAUCCCCACGUUCACGUUAUUGGUGAUGACGCAGCUUGUAUUGCCUAUAUCCGUUUGACCCAGUAUAUUGACGGCCAGGGCCGGCCUCGCACCAUGCAGUCCGAAGAAACCCGCGUCUGGCAUCGCCGGGAUGGCAAGUGGCUGAACGUGCAUUACCAUUGUUCAGGGGCUCCUGCAGCCCCACUCCAAUGAAGCUAAAAAUGGCAGUUUUCGGAGAUACUCAGCGGGAGGGCAAUAUCUUCUCAGCAAGCAGCUCUGGAGUACCUGAAUUACAGCAACGGUCAUCUUCGUUUUGACGUUUCGAGAAAUAAGAAUUACGAACCGGCAGCAGCCAAGUGCACGAAACCCUGCAUGAAUCUGAUGCUCCGGGCGCUGCCGCCUUUCUAUUGUUUUUCCAUGGAUCCAUCGUGUCUGUUUCUGCUGUAUGAAGGUGUCUUAUAACUCCUGAGAGAAAACCCAUAUUGUUUGUAUAGAAAAGAGAUCAUCCGUGAUGGGAGGAUCCAGCACCUCCCCUCCAGGGCUGAUGAUGGAGCAACAGCUGUGAAGCAUCUUUCAGAAUUGGAGCAAAGAGAGAGAGAGAGAGAGAGAAAGAAAGAAAGAAAGAAAAAGAGUUUGAGAGAGAGAGACACAGCAUCUCUUGGGCAGCAGGAUGCUGUCCUCUGUUGUAGGCCCGGCGGAAAUGGACCUUGUCUUUGGGUUAUGCUGCUGCUUUAAUCAGUGAGGUAGGGCUGAUGGGGGUGAGCUCACUAGGGCCCGCAUAAAGGAAGGGGUAAAGCAAAAGAAGGACUUUUCUUAACGCUGUCGCUAUCCCGCAACCAACCGGAGCCUAGACCUCAGCAGUAAGAGAGGAGCUGAUUAUUUGACCGCUGGCUCUCACUGAUGGAUUGGGAUAAAAAAUGAACAAGAAUGUUUUAAGGAACAAGUAUGAGCUGGUUUUGUUAGCAUAGGAGCUGCAGAGAUGCACUGAUUUUUACAAACAGCCACUCCUCGAUGAUGUAAGUCAACUUAUAAGGGUAGAAUUUAAAAGCAAAUAAUCUUAAAAGAGGGCAAAAAUAAUAAUUAUGUGAAUGGCUUAUUUUAUUUUUUAUUGUUUAGAAUAGAGGGGGGGAAUCCAGAGUGCUGCAGAAUUACGUGCUCCUUAGGAAACAGUUGAAAAGCUUUGUUAGACUCUGCCCUGAAGAUUUGCGCACACAUGCAUUUGCUUCCUGUAUGGUGUGCAAUUUAGUCUCUGUGUUAUACUAAAAUACUAUAUUAGCUAUGAAUUUUAAAAAGAAAAAAAAAGUUCUAUAAUUAUGGGGCUAGCUGGUUUCCCAGUUUGAUUUGUUUUCUGAUAAAAACUAGCAAAAGGGAGCCAGGAACUUCCAGAAGUGCUUUUUGUUUUCAGUAGCCCAGUCUAUUUGACAUUGCUUUAUUUCCUGUUGUUCUGUAGUUUUUUGGGGGGUUUGUUUUAACCACAUAAACAUAGAGAACUUUCGCAUCAGCCGUAUUUAUUGUCUUUGCUACAAAGAAAGUGAGUAAUGUUCUUUAUUUCCUACAUCAGAAGUAUUUUGUCAGCUUUAUGGUUUGACUACUAUUUUUUUUCAGUUUCUGAGUAGAAGUGGAUGGGACAAAAGCUUUCCCAGUAAAUUUCCAAGAUCGGAUUUAUACUAUGACAUUCUCUGCCCCUGGCAUACAACGCACACCAAACCUUUUUAUGUCCAUUCAUUAGAUCUUGAGAAGAUGGAAUUCCAUUAAGUUGUUCCCUUUGUGCCUGAAGUAGGAUUGAGAAUAUUUUUGCUGUCUAAUUAAAUAAAAAAAAUAAGAGGGUCAACUUAAUGGAGUUUAGGAAAAUACAGUUUCAGUUUCAAUAUGAAUUGAAGGGGAAAUAUCGUUUUCUGUUCUUCUAACAAGAAACUCCUAACUCAGCUCCAUAAUAUUUAUGAUAGUUCAUGACUCAGUGCAGGAAAAAAGCAUUCCUUCUUGCAGAAGUUUGUGCAAAAUUUCCUUCUCCUUUAAAGAGAAGGAAUAUUUUCUCAAAUGAGAGAGAGAGAGAAUUCUACUGGGGCGAAAGAACCAGUGACACUUCUGUUGUUGCUGGCUACACCUCCUAGUAUCCCUCACCGUUGGCUUGUGAGCUGGGGUUAUUGGUGAAGUUAAUUCAACAGCAUCCGAAAAGUGUGACAAAACUUCAUCUCUUCCUAUCAAUUUAAUAUAGAACAUAUCUAGGACUAAGUGUGUGGAGUAAUAAAACCCCUGAUAAUUUUACUAAGAUUUUUAAGAAUAACAUUACAAAGUGAGGAACAGGAAAUUAGUUAUACUGCUUAAAAAAAAGAUGUGCAUGCUUCUAGGUCUGCUCUUCUCUUGUCUUUUAUCUGAUUAUUUAUAAUAAUCCCCCUGUAUUGAGUAUCUGCAUCCUUAAAACAUAUUUUUGGAACCGU